ACAUUGAGCGUGUGAACAUCGCCUUCAACUAUGACAUGCCAGAGGACUCGGACACCUACUUGCACCGGGUGGCCAGAGCAGGCCGGUUUGGCACCAAGGGCUUGGCCAUCACAUUUGUGUCAGAUGAGAAUGAUGCUAAGAUCCUCAAUGACGUGCAGGACCGCUUUGAGGUCAACAUCAGUGAGCUCCCCGAUGAGAUCGACAUCUCCUACAUUGAACAGACACGGUAGAGGAGAGGAAUGACCCGCUCUGGACUGUGGCCGUCUGUCUCAUCAGAAGAAGAUACCAGGGAUCAGGGUGGAGACGGCCCUGCCCCCGGCCCCUGCCAGCCCUCAUCUUGUCCUGUCCAUGCUUCCCUCUGCAUCACCACCACUCCCAAACCUGUUCCUGAUUUAUCAUGUUUGUUUGUUUGU
Cricetulus griseus (Chinese hamster) is the source of this 413-nucleotide non-coding RNA. The record is from RefSeq and is a predicted model, not a curated record. NCBI's taxonomy places the organism in Eukaryota, Metazoa, Chordata, Mammalia, Rodentia, Cricetidae.